GAUGAACGCUGGUGGCGUGCCUAAUACAUGCAAGUCGAGCGAACAGAUAAGGAGCUUGCUCCUUUGACGUUAGCGGCGGACGGGUGAGUAACACGUGGAUAACCUACCUAUAAGACUGGGAUAACUUCGGGAAACCGGAGCUAAUACCGGAUAACAUAUUGAACCGCAUGGUUCAAUAGUGAAAGGCGGCUUUGCUGUCACUUAUAGAUGGAUCCGCGCCGUAUUAGCUAGUUGGUAAGGUAACGGCUUACCAAGGCAACGAUACGUAGCCGACCUGAGAGGGUGAUCGGCCACACUGGAACUGAGACACGGUCCAGACUCCUACGGGAGGCAGCAGUAGGGAAUCUUCCGCAAUGGGCGAAAGCCUGACGGAGCAACGCCGCGUGAGUGAUGAAGGUCUUCGGAUCGUAAAACUCUGUUAUCAGGGAAGAACAAAUGUGUAAGUAACUGUGCACAUCUUGACGGUACCUGAUCAGAAAGCCACGGCUAACUACGU
This 496-nucleotide ribosomal RNA is filed under the name uncultured bacterium. Its description in RNAcentral is "partial 16S ribosomal RNA". It matches the Rfam family "Bacterial small subunit ribosomal RNA", at positions 28 to 506 of the family's 1533-position model. The record is from RNAcentral.